GUCGUUCCGCCAAGCUGUUGCUCGGAACAUAUAAACUACUUUUCUUCUCAGGUCUAUCCCUUGCGCGUGUCUCCAACUUUAUCAUUUUACAGCUUUACAAACCCUCAUCAAACAGCGACAGCUUCCACCAUUUUUUUUUUUUAAAUUUGUGCGUGUUAAAGUAAUGGAGGAAAAUAAGUAGGGUGAUGACCAUGAAGAAGAAGGAGAGACAGAGUAUGUACUGCUUGAUCUUGAUACUGUUUCUGGGCAGAUUUAUUUUCCUCCAAAUGCACCUUACACUCUUUCAGGUCUGCAUAAGAUGAAUCCAAUAUUAAUCAUAGAUGAAAAAGUGAAGCUGAAGCUUCCCCUGUAGUUCAUGAAGAGACAGGUCCAUCAGAAGCAAAUCUCUUCUCAGGAAAAUGUGUAAUAGAUCCAAACCAAACUCCAAGAAAGCAACUAAAGCCAGUUGCCCGACUUCAGAAGAUUCUAAAGUUUAGGUUGUUACUAAAUGGCAAUGUUCAAGAUGAAACAAAUGCCCCAACUAAUUCAAAAUUGUAAGUAGCAGACUCUAUUUUGUAGUCACUGGUCAAUGUUCAUUCUUAAUUUUGAAAGUAAUUUAAUGCAAUCACCAUUAUGGUCUGCCUUUCUUUUCUAUACUCCUGCAUUAUAUAUCUAUUACCUAGAAUGUUGCAAUAUUGCUAGUUCUUGACCGGAUUGAGAAGGAGAGCUGCAUUUGGAUGUUGGUGGUCAGUAUAGAUUCUGGGUGGUUUUAAGUGAAUUUGAUAAAAUACAAGGAUAUUGACAUGGGUUUAGACCUUAUUCGAUAUGUAAAUUCUGAUAUAAUGUAUUCUAAUGCCUAAUACUGAUUUUCAAUCUGUCGUUGAAAUCCAAGGCUUUCCCCUCUUCCAUGCUGAAAUUGUUUAAAAAAUGUACUUCCAUUUUGCCUGUAGAUGUAUACUA
This is a non-coding RNA of Durio zibethinus, 939 nucleotides long. Lineage: Eukaryota; Viridiplantae; Streptophyta; Magnoliopsida; Malvales; Malvaceae. The record is from RefSeq and is a predicted model, not a curated record.